CCUACGGGUGGCAGCAGUAGGGAAUGUUCGGCAAUGGGGGGAACCCUGACCGAGCAACGCCGCGUGAAGGAAGAAGGUAUUCGUAAUGUAAAGUUCUGUUAACAGGGAAGAAAGAGAAAUUGGACGGGACCUGAAGAAUAAGCACCGGCUAACGACGUGCCAGCAGCCGCGGUAAUACGUAGGGAGCGAGCGUUAUCCGGAAUGAUUGGGCGGAAAGGGUGCGGAGAGGGCAUAGUAAGUCUUUUGUAAAAAUGCUGGGCUCACCCCAGUAGGGCAAAAGAUACUGCAAUGCUAGAGUAUGCCAGAGGCCAGUGGCACUCCCUUUGUAGCGGUCAACUGUGUCCAUAUAUGUCAG
This 355-nucleotide ribosomal RNA is filed under the name uncultured bacterium. Its description in RNAcentral is "partial 16S ribosomal RNA". It matches the Rfam family "Bacterial small subunit ribosomal RNA", at positions 338 to 704 of the family's 1533-position model. The record is from RNAcentral.